RNAcentral lists this ribosomal RNA (253 nucleotides) under uncultured bacterium. RNAcentral describes it as "partial 16S ribosomal RNA". It matches the Rfam family "Bacterial small subunit ribosomal RNA", at positions 524 to 776 of the family's 1533-position model. The record is from RNAcentral.
GACGAGGGACCUAGCGUCGCUCGGAAUUAUUGGGCGUAAAGCGGGUGUAGGUGGCUUGGUAAGUCAGAUGUGAAAGCCCUGGGCUUAACCCAGGAAGUGCAUUUGAUACUGCUAAGCUUGAGUGCGAGAGAGGUUAAUAGAAUACCUGGUGUAGUGGUGAAAUACGUAGAUAUCAGGUGGAACACCGGAGGCGAAGGCGGUUAACUGGCUCGACACUGACACUGGAGACCCGAAAGUGCGGGGAUCAAACAGG